GAUGAACGCUGGCGGCGUGCCUAAUACAUGCCAGUCGAGCGAACGGACGAGAGGCUUGCUUCUCUGAUGUUAGCGGCGGACGGGUGAGUAACACGUGGAUAACCUACCUAUAAGACUGGGAUAACUUCGGGAAACCGGAGCUAAUACCGGAUGAUAUUUUGAACCGCAUGGUUCAAAAGUGAAAGACGGUCUUGCUGUCACUUAUAGAUGGAUCCGCGCUGCAUUAGCUAGUUGGUAAGGUAACGGCUUACCAAGGCAACGAUGCAUAGCCGACCUGAGAGGGUGAUCGGCCACACUGGAACUGAGACACGGUCCAGACUCCUACGGGAGGCAGCAGUAGGGAAUCUUCCGCAAUGGGCGAAAGCCUGACGGAGCAACGCCGCGUGAGUGAUGAAGGUCUUCGGAUCGUAAAACUCUGUUAUUAGGGAAGAACAUAUGUGUAAGUAACUGUGCACAUCUUGACGGUACCUAAUCAGAAAGCCACGGCUAACUACGUG
RNAcentral lists this ribosomal RNA (497 nucleotides) under uncultured bacterium. RNAcentral's name for it is "partial 16S ribosomal RNA". It matches the Rfam family "Bacterial small subunit ribosomal RNA", at positions 28 to 507 of the family's 1533-position model. The record is from RNAcentral.